CCUACGGGAGGCAGCAGUGAGGAAUAUUGGUCAAUGGUCGGGAGACUGAACCAGCCAAGCCGCGUGAGGGAUGAAGGUACAGAGUAUCGUAAACCUCUUUUGUCAGGGAACAAAGGCGGGGACGUGUCCCCGGAUGAGUGUACCUGAAGAAAAAGCAUCGGCUAACUCAGUGCCAGCAGCCGCGGUAAUACGGAGGAUUCGAGCGUUAUCCGGAUUUAUUGGGUUUAAAGGGUGCGCAGGCGGUCUGUUAAGUCAGCGGGCAAAGCCCGGGGCUCAACCCCGGCCCGCCGUUGAAACUGGCAGUCUCGAGUUGGAGAGAAGUAUGCGGAAUGCGCGGUGUAGCGGUGAAAUGCAUAGAUAUCGCGCAGAACUCCGAUUGCGAAGGCAGCAUGCCGGCUCCACACUGACGCUGAGGCACGAAAGCGUGGGUAUCGAACAGGAUUAGAUACCCUUGUAGUC
RNAcentral lists this ribosomal RNA (459 nucleotides) under uncultured bacterium. RNAcentral's name for it is "partial 16S ribosomal RNA". It matches the Rfam family "Bacterial small subunit ribosomal RNA", at positions 338 to 795 of the family's 1533-position model. The record is from RNAcentral.